GUUGUAGCUCAGUGGUAGAGUGCUUGCUUUGCAUGCAUGACGCCCUGGGUUUGAUCCUCAGCACCACA
This 68-nucleotide transfer RNA is filed under the name Marmota monax (woodchuck). RNAcentral's name for it is "tRNA.Ala". The stretch from base 3 to 63 matches the Rfam family "tRNA", at positions 6 to 65 of the family's 71-position model. From Rfam's summary of the family: Transfer RNA (tRNA) molecules are approximately 80 nucleotides in length. Their secondary structure includes four short double-helical elements and three loops (D, anti-codon, and T loops). Further hydrogen bonds mediate the characteristic L-shaped molecular structure. tRNAs have two regions of fundamental functional importance: the anti-codon, which is responsible for specific mRNA codon recognition, and the 3' end, to which the tRNAs corresponding amino acid is attached (by aminoacyl-tRNA synthetases). tRNAs cope with the degeneracy of the genetic code in two manners: having more than one tRNA (with a specific anti-codon) for a particular amino acid; and 'wobble' base-pairing, i.e. permitting non-standard base-pairing at the 3rd anti-codon position. Lineage: Eukaryota; Metazoa; Chordata; Mammalia; Rodentia; Sciuridae. The record is from RNAcentral.